CUUUUAAUAAUGCAGUACACAUAGGACCGCGGAGGAAAGGAAAACACGAGUAAACGAGAUUGGGCAUUGAUUUGUCGUGGGUAUACUCUCUCACAAAAGAGAGCAGAGCUGCACAGGCGAGUUUAAAACGCGGACCUUCGCAGUUAGGUUUACCAUUCGUUUCGCUUUGAAAAGGUAACGUCCACCGGCCGUUCAUUCCGGUUAAUAGAGGCCGAGAGUAGAUUUAUGAACAGCGUUUGGUCGGAUGAAUGAAAACACAAUACGAGGUCUGAUGGAUGGUCUGUGAAAUUAAUUUUCGUUGAACUUGUAACAAAUUUUAUGGAAACAAUUGAGAAAGAUGGAACUUCCAUAGAAGAAAAUUCAAUCUAGCGAAAAAUAUAAUAAUCCAUACACCUAGACAAUAAUACUAAUAACAAUUAACGUUUAAAAAUAAGUUAUAAAAUAUUACUAACGAAU
This is a non-coding RNA of Cinara cedri, 456 nucleotides long. Lineage: Eukaryota; Metazoa; Arthropoda; Insecta; Hemiptera; Aphididae. The record is from the annotation of a GenBank genome assembly.